AUGCGAUAAGUAAUGUGAAUUGCAGAAUUCCGUGAAUCAUCGAAUCUUUGAACGCACAUUGCGCCCCCUGGUAUUCCGGGGGGCAUGCCUGUCCGAGCGUCAUUGCAACCCUCAAGCGCGGCUUGCGUGUUGGGCGCCGUCCCUGGUGGACGCGCCCGAAAGGCAGUGGCGGUACCGUGCUCCGGUGCCCGAGCGUAUGGGCUUCAAACCCGCUCUGGUGGCCCGGCCGGCGCUGGCCUCGACCCUCAACUUUACCAGGUUGACCUCGGAUCAGGUAGGGAUACCCGCUGAACUUAA
This 297-nucleotide unclassified non-coding RNA is filed under the name uncultured Chrysosporium. RNAcentral's name for it is "partial contains 5.8S ribosomal RNA, internal transcribed spacer 2, and large subunit ribosomal RNA". The stretch from base 1 to 102 matches the Rfam family "5.8S ribosomal RNA", at positions 53 to 154 of the family's 154-position model. Lineage: Eukaryota; Fungi; Ascomycota; Eurotiomycetes; Onygenales. The record is from RNAcentral.